CGCAUUAGCUAGUUGGUGAGGUAACGGCUCACCAAGGCGACGAUGCGUAGCCGACCUGAGAGGGUGAUCGGCCACACUGGGACUGAGACACGGCCCAGACUCCUACGGGAGGCAGCAGUAGGGAAUCUUCCACAAUGGACGAAAGUCUGAUGGAGCAACGCCGCGUGAGCGAUGAAGGCCUUCGGGUCGUAAAGCUCUGUUGUUAGGGAAGAACAAGUGCGAGAGUAACUGCUCGCACCUUGACGGUACCUAACCAGAAAGCCACGGCUAACUACGUGCCAGCAGCCGCGGUAAUACGUAGGUGGCAAGCGUUGUCCGGAAUUAUUGGGCGUAAAGCGCGCGCAGGUGGUCCUUUAAGUCUGAUGUGAAAGCCCACGGCUCAACCGUG
RNAcentral lists this ribosomal RNA (388 nucleotides) under Sutcliffiella horikoshii. RNAcentral's name for it is "bacterial SSU rRNA". It matches the Rfam family "Bacterial small subunit ribosomal RNA", at positions 237 to 617 of the family's 1533-position model. Lineage: Bacteria; Bacillati; Bacillota; Bacilli; Caryophanales; Bacillaceae. The record is from RNAcentral.